UGAAUACGAGAUGCUACGGCGUCGAAGCAGUCUAUGUCAUACUUCCAAGAAAAGCUUGCACUGUCAUAAACAAAUAAUGCCUGUACCAUAACCGACACAGGUGGGUAGGUAGAGUAUACUAAGGGGCGCGAGAUAACUCUCUCUAAGGAACUCGGCAAAAUGACUCCGUAACUUCGGGAGAAGGAGUGCCUUAUUUAUAAGGUUGCAAUAACAAGAUCCAAGCAACUGUUUACCAAAAACACAGGUCUCCGCUAAGUCGUAAGACGAUGUAUGGGGGCUGACGCCUGCCCAGUGCCAGAAGGUUAAAGAAGUUGGUUAGCAUCCGCGAAGCUGAUAACUGAAGCCCUGGUGAACGGCGGCCGUAACAAUAACGGUCCUAAGGUAGCGAAAUUCCUUGUCGGGUAAGUUCCGACCCGCACGAAAGGCGUAAUGAUUUGGAUACUGUCUCGGAGAGGGGCUCGGUGAAAUAGACUUGUCUGUGAAGAUGCGGACUACCUGCACCAGGACAGAAAGACCCUAUGAAGCUUUACUGUAACCUGAAAUUGAAAUUGGACUUUACUUGCGCAGUAUAGGUGGGAGACGAUGAGAAUAUUCUUGCGGGAUUAUUGGAGCCAUCAGUGAGAUACCACUCUUGUAAUGUUAGAUUUCUAACUUUGUAUCAUUAUCUGGUCAAAGAACAGUUUCAGGCGGGCAGUUUGACUGGGGCGGUCGCCUCCUAAACGGUAACGGAGGCGCACAAAGGUUUCCUCUGAACGGGUAGAAAUCGUAUCUAGAGUGUAAAGGCAUAAGGAAGCUUGACUGUGAGACCUACAAGUCGAGCAGGGACGAAAGUCGGUCUUAGUGAUCUGACGGUGCUGAGUGGAAAGGCCGUCACUCAACGGAUAAAAGUUACUCUAGGAUAACAGGCUGAUCUCCCCCAAGAGUUCACAUCGACGGGGAGGUUUGGCACCUCGAUGUCGGCUCAUCGCAUCCUGGGGCGGUAGUACGUCCCAAGGGUUGGGCUGUUCGCCCAUGAAAGCGGUACGCGAGCUGGGUUCAGAACGUCGUGAGACAGUUCGGUCCAUAUCCGGUGUAGGCGUUAGAAUAUUGAGAGGAGCCUUCUUUAGUACGAGAGGACCGAGAAGGACAUACCUCUGGUGUACCAGUUAUCGUGCCAACGGUAAACGCUGGGUAGCUAUGUGUGGAGUGGAUAACCGCUGAAAGCAUCUAAGUGGGAAGCCCACCUCAAGAUAAG
RNAcentral lists this ribosomal RNA (1234 nucleotides) under metagenome. Its description in RNAcentral is "bacterial LSU rRNA". It matches the Rfam family "Bacterial large subunit ribosomal RNA", at positions 1564 to 2808 of the family's 2925-position model. The record is from RNAcentral.